RNAcentral lists this ribosomal RNA (492 nucleotides) under uncultured bacterium. RNAcentral describes it as "partial 16S ribosomal RNA". It matches the Rfam family "Bacterial small subunit ribosomal RNA", at positions 29 to 507 of the family's 1533-position model. The record is from RNAcentral.
AGUGAACGCUGGCGGUAGGCCUAACACAUGCAAGUCGAACGGCAGCACAGUAAGAGCUUGCUCUUACGGGUGGCGAGUGGCGGACGGGUGAGGAAUACAUCGGAAUCUACUUUUUCGUGGGGGAUAACGUAGGGAAACUGACGCUAAUACCGCAUACGACCUACGGGUUAAAGCAGGGGAUCUUCGGACCUUGCGCGAUUCAAUGAGCUGAUGUCGGAUUAGCUAGUUGGCGGGGUAAAGGCCCACCAAGGCGACGAUCCGUAGCUGGGCUGAGAGGAUGAUCCGCCACACUGGAACUGAGACACGGUCCAGACUCCUACGGGAGGCAGCAGUGGGGAAUAUUGGACAAUGGGCGCAAGCCUGAUCCAGCCAUACCGCGUGGGUGAAGAAGGCCUUCGGGUUGUAAAGCCCUUUUGUUGGGAAAGAAAAGCAGCAGGUUAAUACCCCGCUGUUCUGACGGUACCCAAAGAAUAAGCACCGGCUAACUUCGUG